Molecule: ribosomal RNA, 253 nt
Filed under: uncultured bacterium
Lineage: Bacteria
Description: partial 16S ribosomal RNA
Rfam family: Bacterial small subunit ribosomal RNA
Source: RNAcentral
UACGUAGGGACCGAGCGUUGUCCGGAUUCAUUGGGCGUAAAGAGCUCGUAGGCGGCUGUUCAAGUCGAACGUGAAAACUCGGAGCUCAACUCCGAGCCUGCGUUCGAUACUGGACGGCUAGAGUCUGGUAGGGGGAUCUGGAAUUCCUGGUGUAGCGGUGGAAUGCGCAGAUAUCAGGAGGAACACCGGUGGCGAAGGCGGGAUCCUGGGCCAGUACUGACACUGAGGGACGAAAGCUAGGGGAGCGAAUGGG